This 286-nucleotide long non-coding RNA is filed under the name Selaginella moellendorffii. RNAcentral describes it as "long non-coding RNA (SMOE_LNC000161)". Lineage: Eukaryota; Viridiplantae; Streptophyta; Lycopodiopsida; Selaginellales; Selaginellaceae. The record is from RNAcentral.
CGGUUUCUAGUUUCUAUACCGAUGAAACUUCGAGUACCUCCGAAUGGCUGCUUUUCUGGCUCGCUAUCACCGGUGUUGACACCUUGAGAGCCGACGAUUCCUCCGAGGUAUGCUUCACUUCUCUGAGCAAAACAACCACUUCUCUCAUGGUUGGUCUUCCAGAUGGCUUGGAGUUCGUGCAAAGCAGUGCUAUCCCGAGAACUUGGAGCAUCUCCUGGACUUCGGGGUCGGGCAUUCCUUGCAUCCUCGGCUCGAGCACCUCCACCGCGGAAGCCGACGUCUUCAG